GACGAACGCUGGCGGCGUGCCUAAUACAUGCAAGUAGAACGCUGAAGGAGGAGCUUGCUCUUCUGGAUGAGUUGCGAACGGGUGAGUAACGCGUAGGUAACCUGCCUGGUAGCGGGGGAUAACUAUUGGAAACGAUAGCUAAUACCGCAUAAGAGUAGAUGUUGCAUGACAUUUGCUUAAAAGGUGCAAUUGCAUCACUACCAGAUGGACCUGCGUUGUAUUAGCUAGUUGGUGGGGUAACGGCUCACCAAGGCGACGAUACAUAGCCGACCUGAGAGGGUGAUCGGCCACACUGGGACUGAGACACGGCCCAGACUCCUACGGGAGGCAGCAGUAGGGAAUCUUCGGCAAUGGACGGAAGUCUGACCGAGCAACGCCGCGUGAGUGAAGAAGGUUUUCGGAUCGUAAAGCUCUGUUGUAAGAGAAGAACGAGUGUGAGAGUGGAAAGUUCACACUGUGACGGUAUCUUACCAGAAAGGGACGGCUAACUACGUA
This 495-nucleotide ribosomal RNA is filed under the name uncultured bacterium. RNAcentral's name for it is "partial 16S ribosomal RNA". It matches the Rfam family "Bacterial small subunit ribosomal RNA", at positions 28 to 507 of the family's 1533-position model. The record is from RNAcentral.